GCAGUGGUAGUUCAGAGAUAGAAUUCUCGCCUUCCAUGCGGGAGACUUGGGUUCAAUUCCUGGCCAGUGCA
RNAcentral lists this transfer RNA (71 nucleotides) under Loxodonta africana (African savanna elephant). It matches the Rfam family "tRNA". From Rfam's summary of the family: Transfer RNA (tRNA) molecules are approximately 80 nucleotides in length. Lineage: Eukaryota; Metazoa; Chordata; Mammalia; Proboscidea; Elephantidae. The record is from Rfam by way of RNAcentral.